RNAcentral lists this unclassified non-coding RNA (429 nucleotides) under uncultured fungus. RNAcentral's name for it is "sequence contains 18S rRNA gene, ITS1, 5.8S rRNA gene, ITS2, 28S rRNA gene". Lineage: Eukaryota; Fungi. The record is from RNAcentral.
GACAUAACCAUCGCGAGUGGUGGCGGUCUGCAAUGUCAGCAAACUUGGAACGUUGCGCGCUUCGAGAGGAAGUUGGGUAAUUUGUUUGUUGACAAAAGUAGUACCCAACGUGGCGUCGUCUCGAUUCACCAGAAGUUCGGCCGAGUUUGCGGAAACGGUCACUGACUCACUGACCGACCCGAUCUCCAGGACAACUUCAACUGGAGUGGGACUGGAGACCAACGCGUGCACGUCAGUAACAACACCUUUCUUGAAACCGGCCGCUUCGACUUCGAUCGUGUAGUCACUAACGGGCACUGCCUCAAAGGUAAAGUUACCGUCACCCGUAGUUGUCGUCGUGCGAGAAGCACUCGACGACAUGUUGGUCAACUUUACUGUGGCGCCUGCAACGACGUUACCUUGCGGGUCUUUCACAGUACCUCGAAUACU